RNAcentral lists this long non-coding RNA (702 nucleotides) under Monodelphis domestica (gray short-tailed opossum). RNAcentral's name for it is "lncRNA (ENSMODG00000050638.1)". Lineage: Eukaryota; Metazoa; Chordata; Mammalia; Didelphimorphia; Didelphidae. The record is from RNAcentral.
GCAGCUUUGAAAAGGGCUUAGCAAGCUCUCUCACUGGAGAUGCUAGUCCUUCCUGAACAUCCCAUGUACCCUAAUUAUCCAAGAAGAUAAAUGACAAACAAAAGAAUUUCAAUUUUUAUUUAAAGGCAAUGGGAAUCAUUGGAGUUUCUGUAGCAGAAGAAUUAGAAAGUAAAACCUGUGAUUUAGAAAUAUCAGCAUGGCAACUAUGUAAAUGAUGGAAUGAGGGGAUGAAAGACUGCAGACAUGGAAAGCAAUUAAGAGUAUGUUUCUUUGAAGCAAGAGGUGAUGAGGACCUGAACGGGUAUAAUUAUUUUAUGAAGGAAGAGUCUAGGCACCAUACCAUAGUGGACAGAGAGACAGCUUCACAGUUAAGAAGACCUCGAUUGAUGAUUGCUGGUCCGCUGAAUCACCGCCUGCCACACACACUCUUGCUUGAUGGAAGAGUGAACCUGGGUAAGUGUUUUACCAUCUCAGCUCCUCCUCACCUCUGUGGGAAUUUUCCAAGGAUAUAAUUUGCCAAUCAGUUGCCUAUCUUUAUUGAUAUAGAGUGUUUAUUCAAUUGGAGUCACUAUAUCAAUGACAAUUUCUAGUGGAAUUGGAGAGAAAAAGAUCUAUAUUGGAGAAAUAUUAGUUAUUUGAAAACAUUUAGAACUUUAUUAUUUUAUAAUAUAAAUGUACCUAUAUUUCUUAUGUUAUUCCACC